UUUUAGAUUAACUUUUUUUUUUGUAUAUAUAAAAAUAUAGAGAGGGAGAGAGUUUUCGACAUGAAUAUUAUUAAUAGUAUAUAUUAUUCACUUUUUUAUUUUUGGAUUAUUACUAAAGUGCGGCUGCUAUGCUAUCAAUAGCACCAAACACUUGGUGCUAUCAAGUUUUCUGCCGUUGGAUAUACACCCUUAAUUAUUUUUACCCAUUAGAUUAUACUAUUCAACCACCUACCCACUAAACCCUAUGGGGCCCAUAUCAUCCUAACCGUAUAUUUCUUAAUCCAAGGGCUAAAAAACUAAUAGCACCAAUAGCUUAGUGCUAUUGAUAGUAUUCCAGUCUAGUUCUUAUUACUAUUAUACCAAUCGCCCACUAAAUCUUAAGUAUCCAAUGAUCACAAAGUGAAUAGCAUAGAGCUACUGUGCUAUUAAAAAUACAACAGUCUUUGUCCUCCUAAUUUUCUAACCAUUCAUCAAUUUUGAUAAGUGGUUAAGAUAAGAGAGAGAGAAAAAAAUUUGGAUGGCUUAAUUUCUCUUCUUUUUGAAUUUCUCUUCAAUUUCUCUUCUCUCUCUUAUCCUAACUAUCCAUCAAAAUUAAUGAAUGAUUAUGAAGUUAAGAGCAUAAAAGCUGUUGUGCUUCUAAUAGUAUAGUAGCCCUACUCUCUCUCUCUCUCUCUCUCUCUCUCUCUCUCUCUCUCUCUCUCUAUAUAUAUAUAUAUAUAUAUAUAUAAUUAAGCUAGCUAUUAUACUGUCGAUAUAGCACCAAGAGCUUAGCACUAUUAGGUUUUCGACGCUUGGAUGAAAAUACGUGCAGUUAGGAUAAUAGUGGUUUCCGACUAGAAUGAAAGUGGUCCCUUAGGGUUGAGCGGGUGGUUAGUUGAAUAGUAUGAUCUAACGGGAGAAAUUGGUCAAAUAGAUAGAUUUAACUAUAAAAAAACUCGAUAGCACUAAACGCUCGAUACUAUUGAUAGUAUAGUAGCCGGACUCCAUACAAACAUCCAUACACACAUACAUAUAUCUAUAUAUAUAUAUAUAUAUAUAUAUAUAUAUAUAUAGAGAGAGAGAGAGAGAGAGAGAGAGAGAGAGAGAGAGAGAGAGAGAUGAGCAGGAAUGCUAUUAGUAGCAAAUGGGUUCCGUUGCCACCCAUUUAUUUUCGAUAAUGGAGCCUCCAAAUCAACGAUCGGCACUGUUGAACAUGAUCUACACCACUUGAAGUAUUUAUAAAUCAAAUUUCAAAUCUUUUCGACAUCAUUGACCAAAUGAUAAAUGGGUUUCAAAAUUUGAUAUGUUAAUGAUUAAUAUGAGACAUUUUCUCGUUUAACGGUGUAAAUAUAUCCAAAUCAAUUGAAUUUUGGUUAGAAAAUUCUUUAAAUUAUUUAGAACAAGAUCUAUACUCUCGAUCUUUGUUACAAUAUUCCUAUCAUCACUUUUUAGAGGAUAUUCAUUUUUAAUCGUUCAUUUUUAUGUCCACAUGAUGGACAAGAGAACAAUAUUGAAAAAGUAUGAAAUUUGGUUUCUAUAUGCUUCAAGUGGUAUAGAUCAUGUUCAAUGAUGCCAAUCGACGAUUUGGAGAUCCAUCAUCGAAAAUAAAUAAAUUGGUGGCAACGAAACCUUUUUUCUACCAAUAGUAUUCUAGCUCAACUCUCUCUCUCUCUCUCUCUCUCUCUCUCUCUCUCUCUCUCUCUCUCUAUAUAUAUAUAUAUAUAUAUAUAUAUAGAACUAGGCUGGAAUACUAUCAAUAGCACCGAGCUAUUGGUGCUAUUAGCUUGUUAGCCCUUGGAUUGAGAAAUGUGCGCUUAGGAUGAUGUGGACCCCCUAGGGUUGAGUGGGUGGUUGGUUGAAUAGUAUAAGCUAACGGGUAAAAAUAAUCAAUGGGUUAAAUCUAACAGUGGAAAACUCGAUAGCACCAAACCUUCAGUGCUAUCGAUAGUAUCAUACAUAUAUAUAUAUAUAUAUAUAGGCUGGGGCUACUAUACUCUUAUGAGUAUAGAACCUCUUGUACUCAUAAAUUUUUAACCGUUGAUUGAUGGGAUGUGUGGUUAGGAUGAUGGCGGUCCUCACUUAGAAUGAUAGUUGUCCCCUAGGGUUGAGUGGGUAGUUGGUUGAAUAGUAUGAUCUAACAGGUGAAAAUGAUCAUGGAAUAAAUCUAAGGGCCGAAAACUUAUGAGUAUAAGGGAGCCAAUACUUAUAAAAGUAUAGUAGCCGAACUCAUAUAUAUAUAUAUAAAUAAUUGGGCUCAAAUAUUAUUAAUAAUAUUUGGGCUCUUUUUUUAUGAAUUUUUUAAUCAUUAGAUAUACACUUUAAUCAAUUUUACUCUUUAAAUCAUACUAUUAAACCAACCAACCACUCAACCCUAAGGGAUCACUAUUAUCUUAAUCCUACAAUUUUUCAUCCAAGAAUUAAAAACUUGAUAGGAAAAAGGCCCAAAUACUAUUAAUAGUAUCUCAACCUAAUUCUCUCUCUCUCUCUCUCUCUCUCUCUCUCUAUAUAUAUAUAUAUAUAUAUAUAUAUAUAUAGUCCGGCUACUAUACUUUUAUGAGUACGAUCGCUUUCUUAUCAUAAGUCGUUUUCAAUAAUAGAGCUUCCGAAUUGGCGAUCUAUAGUGUUAAACAUUAUAUAGAGCAUUUAAAAUUUGUAGAAAUCAAAUUUUAUAAUUUUUUGAAAUCAUUUACCUUAUGAACCAAAGAUCUUAAAAUUGACAAUUUUUAACGGUUGAUAUGGAAUUCUUGCUAGUUUAACGGUGUAAAAAAAUCGAAAACGGUUGAAUUUUUGAUAAAAAAUUCUAUUCUCUAUCUAGAUAAAAAUCAAUAACUCUGAUCUUAAAUUGAAGGAUCUGAUCAUCGUUUUUAGGACGUUGUUUGAUUUUGACCGUUCAUUUUAUGUCCGCUUGAUGGACUUUAUUACAAUUUUAAAAAAUUGCAAAAAUUAUUUUUUAAAAGUUUUAAAUACUUUAUAUCAUAUUUAAUAGAGUUGUUCAUCAAUUCAGAAGCUCCAUCAUCGAAAAUAACUUAUGAGUACAAAAGGCCUACUCUAUAUAUAUAUAUGUAUAUAUAUAUCGAGCAAUGCUACUGUGUUAUUACGAGCAUAACUGUUCUUGUGCUUCUAAAUUCAUAAUUAUCCAUUAAUUUUGAUGGAUGCUAUGUUA
This 3142-nucleotide long non-coding RNA is filed under the name Ananas comosus (pineapple). RNAcentral's name for it is "long non-coding RNA (ACOM_LNC004175)". Lineage: Eukaryota; Viridiplantae; Streptophyta; Magnoliopsida; Poales; Bromeliaceae. The record is from RNAcentral.